GUUUGCAGUGAAGAGGAAAGCUGUUGGCAUCUGGAACUGCAAGGACUGCGGUAAGGUUAAAGCCGGAGGCGCCUACACCUUGAAGUAAGCUUCUCUAAAUCUCACCAAUAUUUUUUGUGCUAUAGUUUUCUGUAUGUGGAUCUUCCAAUGACAACUGUUUUCAGCAUGCCGAUCUCUUUAUGUUAUUUUUUCUAAACAAUAUUCGAAGACGUAAUGAACUGACUUUAUUGUGACUGGUGUUGCAGCACGGCAGCUGCAGUUACUGUGCGCAGUACCAUCAGGCGAUUGAGGGAGGCAACUGAGAGUUAGAUGGUGUAGUACUUGUAGAGCCAUAUCAUACUCUUGAAAUUUUGAUGUAUGGCAGCAUUGCGUGCCAUUUGAGUGUGACACAAGCUCUGAUUGAGCCUUUCUUCUGUG
Molecule: long non-coding RNA, 417 nt
Filed under: Physcomitrium patens
Lineage: Eukaryota; Viridiplantae; Streptophyta; Bryopsida; Funariales; Funariaceae
Description: long non-coding RNA (PPAT_LNC000044)
Source: RNAcentral